AUGUUAUUAGUUUGACCGUACUAUUUGAAUAAGUAACGACUAACUAUGUGCCAGCAGUCGCGGUAAUACAUAGGUUGCAAGCGUUAUCCGGAUUUAUUGGGCGUAAAACAAGCGCAGGCGGAUUAGAAAGUCUGGUGUUAAAAUCAACUGCUUAACGGUUGAAUGCAUUGGAAACUUCUAGUCUAGAGUGUGGUAGAGAGUUCUGGAACUCCAUGUGGAGCGGUGGAAUGCGUAGAUAUAUGGAAGAACACCAGCUGCGAAGGCGAGAACUUAGGCCAUUACUGACGCUUAGGCUUGAAAGUGUGGGGAGCAAAUAGGAUUAGAUACCCUAGUAGUCCACACCGUAAACGAUGGAUGUUAAACGUCGGGGCGAUCACCUCGGUGUUGCAGUUAACACAUUAAACAUCCUGCCUGGGUAGUACAUUCGCAAGAAUGAAACUCAAACGGAAUUGACGGGGACCCGCACAAGUGGUGGAGCAUGUUGCUUAAUUCGACGGUACACGAAAAACCUUACCUAGACUUGACAUCCUUGGCAAAACUAUAG
This 544-nucleotide ribosomal RNA is filed under the name Mycoplasma amphoriforme. RNAcentral describes it as "bacterial SSU rRNA". It matches the Rfam family "Bacterial small subunit ribosomal RNA", at positions 458 to 1003 of the family's 1533-position model. The record is from RNAcentral. Lineage: Bacteria; Bacillati; Mycoplasmatota; Mollicutes; Mycoplasmatales; Mycoplasmataceae.